CCCGCUGAGUUUAAGCAUAUCAAUAAGCGGAGGAAAAGAAACUAACAAGGAUUCCCCUAGUAACGGCGAGCGAAC
RNAcentral lists this ribosomal RNA (75 nucleotides) under Terminalia buceras. RNAcentral's name for it is "partial 28S ribosomal RNA". It matches the Rfam family "Eukaryotic large subunit ribosomal RNA", at positions 24 to 98 of the family's 3401-position model. RNAcentral also lists the same sequence under 2 other names. Lineage: Eukaryota; Viridiplantae; Streptophyta; Magnoliopsida; Myrtales; Combretaceae. The record is from RNAcentral.